CAAAUUUAUUGGUAAGAUUUUGUGUUUUUGUGUCUGAAAAAAGUUCUGAUCCAAAGUGAGUUAAUUGAUCAAAUCUGAAGCUAAACGUUUCCUUCCGGCUCUGGGACGCCAUUUUGUUUCCUAACAGGUAAAAUCCUCCGUCAGCAGCUUUCUGCCUCACUCAUUCGGUCUAAAUUCAGCCUGCAGCUCUUCGCCCUGAAGGCCGUUUGGCGGCUCGGGUUGAGGACAGAGGAGACCGAGGCUGUCGCUGUCUGUCUCUGUCCUCUAGCGACACAGCGUCAGCCGUCAAUAGUUUGCAUGUUUAAGGUUUCUGCGCUGCAGACAGCAGUGCCGCUAAACACGCUGCAGCUCUGCAGGCUGCGUAUCCAUGGCAACGUAAACAGCACCGCUGCGACAGCCGGACUUCCUUUACCCUUGGAUUUGACACCAGCGGUUCAGGGAUUUAGCUCCGUGCUAAAUCUGUCAGUGACGCUGGAUGAGUCCCAACAUUCAGCUGGAGCCGGUCCCACUGGAUCUCACAACAAGCUUCAGUCUCAACGAUGAAACAGAACGAUCCUAUGGAAGCUCAGAGGGGACAUUUUCAGCAUGGCUUUCUCCAGAUGACCCAGCAUGGUUUUCCGGUCCGGUCCGGUCCGUCACUCAGCUGCUCAGACUGGAAUGUUUAUGGAUCCAGCCGCUUCCUCCCGGCUCCGGUACCGGACAGACGAGGCGUCCAGGACGUCUCCCAUCAAGACGAGCCUCAGCCACACAGUGAAAGGUUCGUCUGAGCCGCUGACUGGACCCAGAGUCUUCCUGCGAUUGUGCAGAAACUCUGCGCUUAAAGAGAAAACAUAGAAAACAGGAAAAACGUUAAAAUAAACAACCUGAAACCAUGA
Molecule: long non-coding RNA, 875 nt
Organism: Xiphophorus couchianus (Monterrey platyfish)
Lineage: Eukaryota; Metazoa; Chordata; Actinopteri; Cyprinodontiformes; Poeciliidae
Exons: 2
Source: RefSeq, a predicted model, not a curated record